GGUCUGCUGGGUUGGAUAGGGCAGGAGGAACAAGGUCUGCUAGCUAGGGUAUGGUAAUGGAUGAAGAGGUCUGCUAGCUAGGGUAUGGUAAUGGAUGAAGAGAUCUGCUAGUUGGGGUAUGGUA
Homarus americanus (American lobster) is the source of this 124-nucleotide long non-coding RNA. RefSeq lists it as uncharacterized. Lineage: Eukaryota; Metazoa; Arthropoda; Malacostraca; Decapoda; Nephropidae. The transcript has 3 exons. The record is from RefSeq and is a predicted model, not a curated record.